UUCAUCUCUUAAUUCUAAUGGUGUAGUCAUUCCAAUGGGCAGCAUCAGUGAUAUUCAAACUUUGCUUCUGGCAGUCAUGUGCCAUGUUGCAAUAAACUGCCUCUGUAAGAGAUCUUCUGCACCAGUGAUUGCUGAUGAAACUGAUCAAAAGCAAGGAUUCUGCUUUGUUGAUGCUGGUAUUGCCUUCUGCAAACUUCAACAUCUCAUCCCUACUGUCCCUGUCAAAACCCAAGUUGCAUUAAUUGUGGCAAUCCAUGACUUGCUUGCUGAGUAUGGACUAUGCUGUGUGGGUGAGAGGGGCAAAGGGGAGGAAGGAACAUUUCUUAGAUUUGCAAUAAAGCACCUCUUAGCCCUGGACAUGAAGCUCAAGUCCAG
This 375-nucleotide unclassified non-coding RNA is filed under the name Hevea brasiliensis (rubber tree). The record is from RNAcentral. Lineage: Eukaryota; Viridiplantae; Streptophyta; Magnoliopsida; Malpighiales; Euphorbiaceae.